Molecule: ribosomal RNA, 398 nt
Filed under: uncultured bacterium
Lineage: Bacteria
Description: bacterial SSU rRNA
Rfam family: Bacterial small subunit ribosomal RNA
Source: RNAcentral
GGAAUUUUCCACAAUGGGCGAAAGCCUGAUGGAGCAAUGCCGCGUGCAGGAUGAAGGCCUUCGGGUUGUAAACUGCUUUUAUGUGAGACGAAUAUGACGGUAACACAUGAAUAAGGACCUGCUAACUACGUGCCAGCAGCCGCGGUCAUACGUAGGGUCCAAGCGUUAUCCGGAAUUACUGGGCGUAAAGAGUUGCGUAGGUGGCAGAGUAAGUAGAUAGUGAAAGCGUGUGGCUCAACCAUACAUCCAUUAUCUAAACUGCUCAGCUAGAGAACGAGAGAGGUAGAUGGAAUUCCCUGUGUAGGAGUGAAAUCCGUAGAUAUAGGGAGGAACACCGAUGGCGUAGGCAGUCUACUGGCUCGUUUCUGACACUAAGGCACGAAAGCGUGGGGAGCAAA